CUAGAGUUAGCAAAAGUAAAAGAAAUGCAAAGAGCAAUGAUUGCUAGAGUGGCAACAUAAAGUGAUGUAAUGAACACUAGAGUUAGUGUAAAGUCAAGAUUGAACAUACAAUCCUUUGAGUUAAGGAUUUCAAUCAUGCUUGCUAUGAGUUCCGUGCUCGAGGGCGGUCGCUCCCCCUCGGGCGAUGCGCUCCGGAGUUAUGCAUCCGGGUUGGAGUAGACCCGUAAGGACGGUCCUAGCGGGUGAGUUCCUGCGAUGAUGGACUUAAUGUGAAGCAAGUCAAUGUGGCGAUACCCCCGGGUUAGCCUUGAGAUUAAAGAACAAAGAGCAAAGAAUAAAG
This 340-nucleotide long non-coding RNA is filed under the name Ananas comosus (pineapple). RNAcentral describes it as "long non-coding RNA (ACOM_LNC022486)". Lineage: Eukaryota; Viridiplantae; Streptophyta; Magnoliopsida; Poales; Bromeliaceae. The record is from RNAcentral.